UACAGAGGUCCCAAGCGUUGUUCGGAUUCACUGGGCGUAAAGGGUGCGUAGGUGGUCGGAUAAGUCUGAUGUGAAAUCUCCGAGCUCAACUCGGAAAUGGCAUUGGAUACUAUUCGGCUGGAGGGUUGGAGGGGGGACUGGAAUACUUGGUGUAGCAGUGAAAUGCGUAGAUAUCAAGUGGAACACCAGUGGCGAAGGCGGCUCACUGGCCCGAUACUGACGCUGAGGCACGAAAGCGUGGGGAGCAAACAGG
RNAcentral lists this ribosomal RNA (253 nucleotides) under uncultured bacterium. Its description in RNAcentral is "partial 16S ribosomal RNA". It matches the Rfam family "Bacterial small subunit ribosomal RNA", at positions 524 to 776 of the family's 1533-position model. The record is from RNAcentral.